Molecule: long non-coding RNA, 1581 nt
Filed under: Nicotiana benthamiana
Lineage: Eukaryota; Viridiplantae; Streptophyta; Magnoliopsida; Solanales; Solanaceae
Description: long non-coding RNA (NBEN_LNC006024)
Source: RNAcentral
GGGACUCAAAAAGACACACUCUAACACACUUAGCCAUCACCUUCUGCACCUUAAAAUACACAAAAACUUCAAAAAAGAUCAGUUGAACAUACUGAAUAGUGAGCUGAAAAUCCUGAACUUUGUGAGUGUUUCUUAGAGUGUAAAACUUGUAAGAAAAUAGAGGAAUCCUAGGUGAUUGCUUCAGCAAGUAGCUACUGGUUUCAAAUACUUUCUUGCUGGAUUUUUCUGGGUUGUUUCUCGGAUCAUAUGUUGCUGAUUUUGCUGUUGUUGCAUUGCUUAGUUGCUGAAAUUCAAUCCCUCCCAUACUAAUAUUUUUUCUCUAUUACUCAGGUAAUUUUCUCAACUGUUGUACUACUUUUGGGUCAAGGAUGAAUGCAAAAAUGAGAUGAUUUCUGCUUCUUUAGUUUACUUCCACGCCUUCAAUAAGGUCUGCUCAUUAUGAUGAAUAUGUAUGGAACACCUAUAAUUAAAUAAUUCCAGCUUUUCUUAUUUUCUUGUCAAGUUAUUAGAGUUGCUGAUACAAGUUAUGUUAGGGUUGUGUGAAUUAUUACAUAAGUUUUUUUUUUGAUAAUUAAGGAUUUUCAUUAAUCAUCAAUGAAAGAGCUUUACAAACCACAGUCAAGCUUCAACAUAGCUGACUGUCUAGGGGUUAACAUACAUACUAGUUCUACUUUCCUAACUAUCUAGCACUACUAUAUGUGAAGGUGUUGUAAUAUUUGUCUAAUUUUGGGGUACCUCUAAUGUUACAAUUAUACACUAUGUCUCUUAGGGAAAGGCAGUGUUACAUCAGAAUAUUUUGUUGAAGACUCUAGCAUUCCUUUCCAGCCAGAUAGCAUAGGCAAAUUCAGCUGUGACCAAUUUGAAGAUGGUAGCGCGGGGUGUUCGACCUUUGGCUUUGCUAACCAACCAUUGUAUUUUCUGGUUCCAGUCAUCUUUUGGUGUGUAGGUUUCCUGCAGCCAGUUCAUUGUUCAUUCCCAUAAGUCCACAGUGACAGGGCAGUUCAUUAAUAAGUGAUCUCUUGAUUCCGGGUGGCUUUGGCACAAUGGGCACCGCUGAUCAAUAGUCAUUCCCCAACUGUGUAGUCUGUCCUUUGUUGGGAGUCUAUCCACGAGUAAUAGCCAUAGGUUGAUUGUUGCUUUUGGCCUUGCUUGGUUCUUUAUGAUUAAAUUCUUCCAUGGAACUCUCGACACUGUUUGCAUAUGAGAAUGGUACAACUGUCUUGUUGAGCACUUCUGUUCCUUCCAAUUCUGGAUCCUUUGUAGAACAUCUCUAGCUUGGAUAAUUUUCCUCACCAUCCAACUAGCUUGGGCAGGAAUUGGAAUGGAUUCUAUUGAUCUGUCUUUGAUGUAGUAUACAGUGAUCAACCUAAUCCACAACUUGUCCUUUUAUGUGCUAGAUCCCAGCAGGUCUUUGCAAUGGCAGCUUUGUUCCAGAGCUUUAGGUUAGUUAUGUUCAUCCCCCCAACUGAUUUUGGGGUACACAUUUUUUCCCAAGAGAUGUAGGCUUUCUUAGUUACAGUGUUCAUCCCGGACCAAAUGAAACUCCUACAGAUGCCUUCAAUCAUUUUGAGUACUUUCACA